UCCCUGGAAGACUAGUGGUUAGGCCUCGGUGCUCUCACCACUGUGGCCCAGGUUCGAUUCCUAGCCAGGGAA
Molecule: transfer RNA, 72 nt
Filed under: Pangasius djambal
Lineage: Eukaryota; Metazoa; Chordata; Actinopteri; Siluriformes; Pangasiidae
Description: tRNA-Glu
Rfam family: tRNA
About the family: Transfer RNA (tRNA) molecules are approximately 80 nucleotides in length. Their secondary structure includes four short double-helical elements and three loops (D, anti-codon, and T loops).
Source: RNAcentral